UCUUAGGCUAUCAUGUUCUGUUUCCAGAUGAAUUUGAAACUGAACAACGUAAGGAUGUCAAUAGUAAGGGGUUGAUUUUAAACGGACGACUUCUAUUUGACUUGAGCGCGGUAAAAUCAUAACAAAUUGGAUUGUUGGAUUUUCUCCGAUUGCAACUCUAGAAUAUUCACCAUGAUAGCAAAAUUUAUCUUUAAAGUGGUUAUAGUUUUGACGCUUAUCCGAAUGGCACACAUGGAGAAAAAUGAGAGAUCUCAAGAGCCUUCACACACACCCUGUGACAAAGCGUCCCCAGCGACAACCUACUGGACAGAGUGGUACUCGACCUCAAACGACGUCGGAUCAAACGAGCAAGACUUUAGACAU
Lytechinus variegatus (green sea urchin) is the source of this 363-nucleotide long non-coding RNA. RefSeq lists it as uncharacterized. The transcript has 3 exons. NCBI's taxonomy places the organism in Eukaryota, Metazoa, Echinodermata, Echinoidea, Temnopleuroida, Toxopneustidae. The record is from RefSeq and is a predicted model, not a curated record.